This 72-nucleotide transfer RNA is filed under the name Phrynosoma platyrhinos (Desert horned lizard). RNAcentral describes it as "tRNA-OTHER". The record is from RNAcentral. Lineage: Eukaryota; Metazoa; Chordata; Lepidosauria; Squamata; Phrynosomatidae.
GCCAGUGUGGCAUAGUGGUUUGAGUGUUGGACUAUGACUGUAGAGACCAGGGUUUGAUUCCCUGCUUGGCCA